CAGCGGGCACACUGCGGGGGAAUGGGGCACGGGGGCUUGGCGAGCUCGAACGCGAGCGCUAAGGCCCGGCGGGCCGAGGGAGAGCUGCGCGCUUGCCGAAUCCCAUGACCAAAGGCCGGUGCAGGCCGCCAGAAGCGCGGGCCGCGGACCGGACGGCAGCAGGUGCGGGCUGGGCAGAGCAGCCCCCGGAGCCCUGGCCAAGCCCUUGCUCUCUGAUGUGGCCUGGGAAAGAAGCAGAAGAUGGCCCAAGUUUUUGGGGCCCUGUACACAUGUAGGAGACCCAAAAGAAGCUUCUGGCUCCUGGCUUUGGAUCAGCCCAGCUCUGGCCUUUGAGACCAUUUAUGGAGUAAACCAGCAGAUGGAAGACCUUCUUUAAAUAAUCUAGCAAUCAGAAGAUAGAGGAAAGGCUCUGCAUAUGGUGGCUUGGGAAGAUAACACACAAAACUUCAGAACGCAGUCUAGAUUUCAUGCCACAAAUAGGAAGGCAUCUCACAUUUCAAGGUAUUUUAUACAACUACAGUUUUCUUCUAGCAUUUUUGUGUUUUUUGUUUGUGGUUACUUUCAGUUUCCUUUUCAACUGAAAAGAGAGCAGCAGCAGCAACUAACUGAUGUCACAAAAGAGGACUCCUUAGAAGUUUCUGAGCACAGGGCGAGACUGAGGCAGCAUCCUCCCUUUUGAACAGGAAGGAAGAAUCAAGAGACCGGACAACAAGCUGAGACGGUGAAGAGCUGAGAGAGUCCAAGCUGCAAAUAACCUCUUCUCCAUAAUUACAAAUGGCAACACAUCUGCUGAAGGAGGAGAGGCCUGAGAGGGGAUCUGAGUAGAAAUGAAACUGUUUCUAACCACGAUGGUGCUGCUCGCAGCAAGGAGUUCCUAGGCUAGUUAAUGUGAAGAUGCCAAUUCACCUUGGUUCAGUUAUUAUUAAGGGGAUAUUGGUAAUCCCCUUAGGUUUGUUCAUUCAGAUUCCUUUAAAAUUUCUAUAACCUUUUUCUGACCACAUACAAAUAUGACGAUACGUCAAAAAGUUUGCAGAGAAAUGGAAUUAAAAGUAUGAGUUUUAAGACCAGUGUUUGGGGGCGGGCGCCAUGGCUCACUUGGUUAAUCCUCCGCCUGCAGUGCAGGCAUCCCAUAUGGGCUCCAUGUUCUAGUCCCGGUUGCUCCUCUUCCAGUCCAGCUCUGUGCUGUGGCCCGGGAGUGCAGUGGAGGAUGGCCCUAGUGCUUGGGCCCCUGCACCUGCAUGGGAGACCAGGAGGAAGCACCUGGCUCCUGGCUUUAGAUCGGCGCAGCACGCCAGCUGUAGUGACCAUUUUGGGGGUGAACCAACGGAAGGAUGACCAUUCUUUCUGUCUGUCUCUCUCUCUCUCACUGUCUAACUCUAUCUGUCAAAAAAAAUAAAAAAAAAAGACCAGUGCUUGAUGUAGUGAGUAAAUCACCACUUGGUACUGCCACAUCCUAUAUCAGUGUCUAGGUUCAAGUUCUAGCUUACCUCUCCAUACCAGCUUCCCUACUAGUGUACAUCCUAGGAGUUAGGAGGUGAUGGUUCAAAUAUUUGGAUCGGUGACACCUGUGUGGAAGACCUACAUUGAGUUCCUGGCUUUGACCUGACAUGGUUUUGACCUGACAUGCUGUUGUAGGCAUUUGGGGGAAUGAACCAGCAGGUGAGAUCUCUAUCUCUCUUUCUCUCUCUCUCUCUCCCUCCUUCCCUCUCUCUCUCUCUCUCUUCUCUCUACCAAUCAAAUAAAUAAAUAACUAGUUUUUAAAAUAUGAGUUUAUGUUGGUGCAAAAACUUUUUGAAAUCUAGGCAUAGUUUUUUGUAUGAAUGUUAUCUCAUACUUUAAAUUCCAUUUUCCAUAAACUUCUUGAGGUUGAUUCAUGCAUAAUUAUAAAAUGAACCGCAUAUUUCCCAUAUACCCUUACCCUUAGUGAAAAUACACAUGUCAAUCUAUGACUCAUGUAAUUAAAAAUUCCAUUACUAAUGGGAAAUUAAAUGAAUUAAUAAAACUAUCUUACCUACAUAGUCUCCUGAGUUUCUUUCUAUAACGUGUUAAAUUACAAUAAAGCCUUGGCUCCCUAAAACCUCAGAAAAUGAAUCAUUUUUGCUAGUUGAAAAUCUGUCUAGAAAAUGUUGCUGCUGUCUGAUGUUAUAAUAAGUGCUAUCUAAAUUUGAAAUGUACAGGAGAUACUGAAAGAAUAAAUUAA
Molecule: long non-coding RNA, 2200 nt
Organism: Lepus europaeus (European hare)
Lineage: Eukaryota; Metazoa; Chordata; Mammalia; Lagomorpha; Leporidae
Exons: 4
Source: RefSeq, a predicted model, not a curated record